GACGAACGCUGGCGGCGUGCCUAAUACAUGCAAGUCGAACGCAUUUUCUUUCACCGUAGCUUGCUACACCGAAAGAAAAUGAGUGGCGAACGGGUGAGUAACACGUGGGUAACCUGCCCAUCAGCGGGGGAUAACACUUGGAAACAGGUGCUAAUACCGCAUAAUUCCAUUUACCGCAUGGUAGAUGGAUGAAAGGCGCUUUUGCGUCACUGAUGGAUGGACCCGCGGUGCAUUAGCUAGUUGGUGGGGUAACGGCCUACCAAGGCUGCGAUGCAUAGCCGACCUGAGAGGGUGAUCGGCCACACUGGGACUGAGACACGGCCCAGACUCCUACGGGAGGCAGCAGUAGGGAAUCUUCGGCAAUGGACGCAAGUCUGACCGAGCAACGCCGCGUGAGUGAAGAAGGUUUUCGGAUCGUAAAACUCUGUUGUUAGAGAAGAACAAGGAUGAGAGUGGAAAGUUCAUCCCUGACGGUAUCUAACCAGAAUGCMCCG
Molecule: ribosomal RNA, 494 nt
Filed under: uncultured bacterium
Lineage: Bacteria
Description: bacterial SSU rRNA
Rfam family: Bacterial small subunit ribosomal RNA
Source: RNAcentral